Molecule: long non-coding RNA, 971 nt
Organism: Vigna unguiculata (cowpea)
Lineage: Eukaryota; Viridiplantae; Streptophyta; Magnoliopsida; Fabales; Fabaceae
Source: RefSeq, a predicted model, not a curated record
UGUUACUCUAAAUGUGUUGAUUAUUAUUUUUAUUAACAGUAGAGAGAGUGCAGAGUGGUAAAUUACUCUCUUAUAGUUGAAUUUACCAAGAACAACACAUCAAAGUCUUGUGGUCUGUUUGGUCCCAAACGCAGCAGCGAAUGAGUUGAAGCAGCAGUGGCUGAAGAAGGCUGAAGAAGAAGACGAAGAAAACAAUGAAAAGAUACAUCAUGAGGUCGAAUCUGUUUCCGCUUCUCUUUGCAUUUGCCUUUCUGUUUUCGCCUGUGUUCUCUGCUUCGGAUCUAAUCCUCGCCAAGGUUGACCGUCGUCCGAGAGAUUUUUGACAAGUGGCAAGCUCAAAAAUGGUGGGGUGAGAAUUAUGACAGAAUCAUGGAGCUUUACAAUGUCUAGAGAUUCAAUCGACAAGCUCUUAACAUCCUUCCAGAUCUGAGGAUGAGUUCAUUGCACGUUUGACAUGCAGGAUCGUAUGGGGAGGUGUAUCGUGGUGCAUGGCGUGGAACACUGCUAUAAUAUUAUAUAGCAUCUCUGCUAUAUAAAGCAUCAUAAUCAAUCCAUGUUGGCAAUUUAAACCAAUCACAAGUGAUGUUAAUGCAAAGUUCCUUUUGAAAUUAAGGAUCAUAGCUUGAGUUUGGAGAUGCAGGUGGAAGUGGUCUGAAAAGAAGAUAUGUUCAAAGAGAUGGUCAAAAUAAUGAAAAGAUUGAGGCAUCCAAAUGUUGUUCUCUUCAUGGGAGCAGUAACUCGACCUCCAAAUCUUUCAAUUGUUACUGAAUUUCUUUCCAGCAAACCAGUAUGCAAAUGAGCCUGAGUCUUCUAUGGGUACAAGAGGAUCAUCUGGUGGUAGCAACAUUUAGGAUGUUGAUGAUAUUUUUAAGAUGAAACUAUUUUAGUGUAUUAUGAACUUUGAGUAAGUAUGGAUUAAGUUGUAAUUGUUUCAAUUUAAAUUGCUUUUAUGUUAAUAUGUUGAUUUUGAG